This 314-nucleotide RNase P RNA is filed under the name Methanocalculaceae archaeon. RNAcentral's name for it is "RNase P RNA component". It matches the Rfam family "Archaeal RNase P". Rfam says of the family: Ribonuclease P (RNase P) is a ubiquitous endoribonuclease, found in archaea, bacteria and eukarya as well as chloroplasts and mitochondria. Its best characterised activity is the generation of mature 5'-ends of tRNAs by cleaving the 5'-leader elements of precursor-tRNAs. Cellular RNase Ps are ribonucleoproteins. Lineage: Archaea; Methanobacteriati; Methanobacteriota; Methanomicrobia; Methanomicrobiales; Methanocalculaceae. The record is from RNAcentral.
GAGAGGGAGCAUGCGGCCGACGGUGAUCAUUUCGGGAUCGCUGAGGAAAGUCCUCCCACCAUUCAGGUAACGCAGCCGUGUGCAAGCACGGGUGGCGAGAGUCACGGCUCUGGAACAGAAACGACACGUCCUUCGCGGAGCAAUGAGACGGCACCUAACCCGUCGAGCGCUGAGGCGAAGGGAUCGAUGGAACGGCGAAUCCCUGCGGGUGCAAGUCGAAACAGGAUCUGCGUGCGGCGCCUGAACGCCAUGAUCCGGGUACGACGCUAAGCCGAAUGCCGCAACGAACAGGAGGAGGCUUAUCACUCCGACUC